RNAcentral lists this transfer RNA (68 nucleotides) under Marmota monax (woodchuck). Its description in RNAcentral is "tRNA.Ala". Lineage: Eukaryota; Metazoa; Chordata; Mammalia; Rodentia; Sciuridae. The record is from RNAcentral.
GGCUGGGGCUCAGAGGUAGGGCACUCGCCUGGCAUGUGUGAGGCACUGGGUUUGAUUCUCAGCACUCG